AUGAUGCUGAGAAGGAGUCAAGGCUUCACCAGACUGCCAAAGGGAUCUGCGGCACAAAAAUCUAAGAACCUUUGCUCCAACAUUAUCAUCAUCACAGGUUAAGAACGGUGCCUUACUCUAUUACAGGAGCCUAAGAGAGCACAGCAUACAGAACAGAUGCUCAGCAUUUCUGGAAUUUUUUCGAGUAAGGCUUAUAUAAUUUGAAUUGAUAAUUCGAAGACUGUGACAUCUGCUUAUCGCGUUCUUUUCAUAAUAAGUAAAAUGUGAGAAGGACUAGGCGUGCCCUGUUUGGCAUUCUGGCUUCACGGUUCCUGGACGAGGAGAUAAAUAAGGAAGUGAUGUAAGAACAGUAGCUGAAUAUUUCAAGUAUCUUUGAUCUACUGCGCCAAGAUUACAGAGCAGAGGAAGCUUCUCCAACGCGGCAGGGGAGGGAUGGAGAACAACUUUGUUAAAGACAGAGGCUGGUUUGGGCACCAAAGAGAAGCAGGCUCCGUGACCUGAAAUAAAUCUUUAUAAUUAAA
Odocoileus virginianus texanus is the source of this 521-nucleotide non-coding RNA. Lineage: Eukaryota; Metazoa; Chordata; Mammalia; Artiodactyla; Cervidae. The record is from RefSeq and is a predicted model, not a curated record.